GUCGAACGCUUCUUUUUCCNCCGGAGCUUGCUCCACCGGAAAAAGAGGAGUGGCGAACGGGUGAGUAACACGUGGGUAACCUGCCCAUCAGAAGGGGAUAACACUUGGAAACAGGUGCUAAUACCGUAUAACAAUCNAAACCGCAUGGUUUUGAUUUGAAAGGCGCUUUCGGGUGUCGCUGAUGGAUGGACCCGCGGUGCAUUAGCUAGUUGGUGAGGUAACGGCUCACCAAGGCCACGAUGCAUAGCCGACCUGAGAGGGUGAUCGGCCACAUUGGGACUGAGACACGGCCCAAACUCCUACGGGAGGCAGCAGUAGGGAAUCUUCGGCAAUGGACGAAAGUCUGACCGAGCAACGCCGCGUGAGUGAAGAAGGUUUUCGGAUCGUAAAACUCUGUUGUUAGAGAAGAACAAGGAUGAGAGUAACUGUUCAUCCCUUGACGGUAUCUAACCAGAAAGCCACGGCUAACUACGUGCCAGCAGCCGCGGUAAUACGUAGGUGGCAAGCGUUGUCCGGAUUUAUUGGGCGUAAAGCGAGCGCAGGCGGUUUCUUAAGUCUGAUGUGAAAGCCCCCGGCUCAACCGGGGAGGGUCAUUGGAAACUGGGAGACUUGAGUGCAGAAGAGGAGAGUGGAAUUCCAUGUGUAGCGGUGAAAUGCGUAGAUAUAUGGAGGAACACCAGUGGCGAAGGCGGCUCUCUGGUCUGUAACUGACGCUGANGCUCGAAAGCGUGGGGAGCAAACAGGAUUAGAUACCCUGGUAGUCCACGCCGUAAACGAUGAGUGCUAAGUGUUGGAGGGUUUCCGCCCUUCAGUGCUGCAGCUAACGCAUUAAGCACUCCGCCUGGGG
RNAcentral lists this ribosomal RNA (847 nucleotides) under Enterococcus faecium. RNAcentral's name for it is "bacterial SSU rRNA". It matches the Rfam family "Bacterial small subunit ribosomal RNA", at positions 61 to 878 of the family's 1533-position model. Lineage: Bacteria; Bacillati; Bacillota; Bacilli; Lactobacillales; Enterococcaceae. The record is from RNAcentral.